RNAcentral lists this ribosomal RNA (253 nucleotides) under uncultured bacterium. RNAcentral's name for it is "partial 16S ribosomal RNA". It matches the Rfam family "Bacterial small subunit ribosomal RNA", at positions 524 to 776 of the family's 1533-position model. The record is from RNAcentral.
UACGUAGGGUGCGAGCGUUGUCCGGAAUUAUUGGGCGUAAAGGGCUCGUAGGCGGUCUGUUGCGUCAGGAGUGAAAACUCGGGGCUUAACCCCGAGCCUGCUUCUGAUACGGGCAGACUAGAGGUAUGCAGGGGAGAACGGAAUUCCUGGUGUAGCGGUGAAAUGCGUAGAUAUCUGGAGGAACACCGGUGGCGAAGGCGACAUCCUGGACCGGUAUUGACGCUGAGGCGCGAAAGCCAGGGGAGCAAACGGG